RNAcentral lists this ribosomal RNA (253 nucleotides) under uncultured bacterium. RNAcentral describes it as "partial 16S ribosomal RNA". It matches the Rfam family "Bacterial small subunit ribosomal RNA", at positions 524 to 776 of the family's 1533-position model. The record is from RNAcentral.
UACGAAGGGGGCUAGCGUUGCUCGGAAUCACUGGGCGUAAAGCGCACGUAGGCGGAUUGUUAAGUCAGGGGUGAAAUCCUGGAGCUCAACUCCAGAACUGCCUUUGAUACUGGCGAUCUUGAGUCCGGGAGAGGUGAGUGGAACUGCGAGUGUAGCGGUGAAAUGCUUAGAUAUCGUCCAGAACACCGAUAGCGAAGGCAGCUUACUAAGGAGUAACUGACGCUGAGGCACGAAAGUGUGGGGAUCAAACAGG